RNAcentral lists this ribosomal RNA (465 nucleotides) under uncultured bacterium. RNAcentral describes it as "partial 16S ribosomal RNA". It matches the Rfam family "Bacterial small subunit ribosomal RNA", at positions 28 to 507 of the family's 1533-position model. The record is from RNAcentral.
GACGAACGCUGGCGGCGUGCUUAACACAUGCAAGUCGUACGGUAAGGCCCUUUCGGGGGUACACGAGUGGCGAACGGGUGAGUAACACGUGAGUAACCUGCCCACAACUUUGGGAUAACGCUAGGAAACUGGUGCUAAUACUGGAUAUGUGCUCCUGCUGCAUGGUGGGGGUUGGAAAGCUCCGGCGGUUGUGGAUGGACUCGCGGCCUAUCAGCUUGUUGGUGGGGUAGUGGCCUACCAAGGCGGCGACGGGUAGCCGGCCUGAGAGGGUGACCGGCCACAUUGGGGCUGAGAUACGGCCCAGACUCCUACGGGGGGCAGCAGUGGGGAAUAUUGCACAAUGGGCGCAAGCCUGAUGCAGCAACGCCGCGUGCGGGAUGACGGCCUUCGGGUUGUAAACCGCUUUCAGCAGGGACGAAGCUUUUUGUGACGGUACCUGCAGAAGAAGCACCGGCUAACUACGUG